RNAcentral lists this ribosomal RNA (121 nucleotides) under Campylobacter coli. RNAcentral's name for it is "partial 16S ribosomal RNA". It matches the Rfam family "Bacterial small subunit ribosomal RNA", at positions 1412 to 1533 of the family's 1533-position model. Lineage: Bacteria; Pseudomonadati; Campylobacterota; Epsilonproteobacteria; Campylobacterales; Campylobacteraceae. The record is from RNAcentral.
UGAUUUCACUCGAAGCCGGAAUACUAAACUAGUUACCGUCCACAGUGGAAUCAGCGACUGGGGUGAAGUCGUAACAAGGUAACCGUAGGAGAACCUGCGGUUGGAUCACCUCCUUUCUAGA